AGGGUUUGAUCCUGGCUCAGAACGUACGCUGGCGGCACGCCUAACACAUGCAAGUCGAACGAAGUAGCAAUACUUAGUGGCAGACGGGUGAGUAACAUGUGGGUAUCUGCCCUUUGGCCUGGAAUAACACGAGGAAACUUGUGCUAAUACUGGAUAAGUCUUUACGGAGAAAGCUUUAUGCACCAUUGGAUGAGCCCGCACUUGAUUAGUUUGUUGGUGGGGUAAUGGCCUACCAAGACUGUGAUCAAUAGCUGAUUUGAGAGGAUGAUCAGCCACAUUGGGACUGAGACACGGCCCAAACUCCUACGGGAGGCAGCAGUGGGGAAUCUUGCACAAUGGAGGAAACUCUGAUGCAGCGAUGCCGCGUGAGUGAAGAAGGCCCUUGGGUUGUAAAGCUCUUUCGUCGGGGAAGAAAAUGACUGUACCCGAAUAAGAAGGUCCGGCUAACUUCGUGCCAGCAGCCGCGGUAAUACGAAGGGACCUAGCGUAGUUCGGAAUUACUGGGCUUAAAGAGUUCGUAGGUGGUUGAAAAAGUUGGUGGUGAAAUCCCAGAGCUUAACUCUGGAACUGCCAUCAAAACUUUUCAGCUAGAGUUUGAUAGAGGAAAGCAGAAUUUCUAGUGUAGAGGUGAAAUUCGUAGAUAUUAGAAAGAAUACCAAUUGCGAAGGCAGCUUUCUGGAUCAUUACUGACACUGAGGAACGAAAGCAUGGGUAGCGAAGAGGAUUAGAUACCCUCGUAGUCCAUGCCGUAAACGAUGUGUGUUAGACGUUGGAAAUUUAUUUUCAGUGUCGCAGCGAAAGCGAUAAACACACCGCCUGGGGAGUACGACCGCAAGGUUAAAACUCAAAUGAAUUGACGGGGACCCGCACAAGUAGUGGAGCAUGUGGUUUAAUUCGAAGAUACGCGCAGAACCUUACCAACACUUGACAUGUUCGUCGCGACUUUAAGAGAUUAAAGUUUUCGGUUCGGCCGGACGAAACACAGGUGCUGCAUGGCUGUCGUCAGCUCGUGUCGUGAGAUGUUGGGUUAAGUCCCGCAACGAGCGCAACCCUCACUUUUAGUUGCCAUCAUUUAGUUGGGCACUCUGAAAGAACUGCCAGUGAUAAGCUGGAGGAAGGUGGGGAUGACGUCAAGUCCUCAUGGCCCUUACGUGUUGGGCUACACACGUGCUACAAUGGUAUCUACAACAGGAAGCGAAACAGCGAUGUUAAGCAAAUCCUUAAAAGAUACCUCAGUUCGGAUUGCACUCUGCAACUCGAGUGCAUGAAGCUGGAAUUACUAGUAAUCGUGGAUCAGCGUGCCACGGUGAAUGCGUUCCCGGGUCUUGUACACACCGCCCGUCACACCAUGGGAGUUGGUUCUACCUUAAGGCAAGGUUUAAUACCCUUGACUACGGUAUAGUCAGCGACUGGGGUGAAGUCAUAACAAGGUAGC
RNAcentral lists this ribosomal RNA (1435 nucleotides) under uncultured bacterium. RNAcentral's name for it is "bacterial SSU rRNA". It matches the Rfam family "Bacterial small subunit ribosomal RNA". The record is from RNAcentral.